CCGAAUAGGGGAGCCGGAGGGAAACCGAGUCUUAACCGGGCGUUAAGUUGCAGGGUAUAGACCCGAAACCCGGUGAUCUAGCCAUGGGCAGGUUGAAGGUUGGGUAACACUAACUGGAGGACCGAACCGACUAAUGUUGAAAAAUUAGCGGAUGACCUGUGGCUGGGGGUGAAAGGCCAAUCAAACCGGGAGAUAGCUGGUUCUCCCCGAAAGCUAUUUAGGUAGCGCCUCGUGAAUUCAUCUCCGGGGGUAGAGCACUGUUUCGGCUAGGGGGCCAUCCCGGCUUACCAACCCGAUGCAAACUGCGAAUACCGGAGAAUGUUAUCACGGGAGACACACGGCGGGUGCUAACGUCCGUCGUGAAGAGGGAAACAACCCAGACCGCCAGCUAAGGUCCCAAAGUCAUGGUUAAGUGGGAAACGAUGUGGGAAGGCCCAGACAGCCAGGAUGUUGGCUUAGAAGCAGCCAUCAUUUAAAGAAAGCGUAAUAGCUCACUGGUCGAGUCGGCCUGCGCGGAAGAUGUAACGGGGCUAAACCAU
This 539-nucleotide ribosomal RNA is filed under the name Salmonella enterica. RNAcentral describes it as "partial 23S ribosomal RNA". It matches the Rfam family "Bacterial large subunit ribosomal RNA", at positions 653 to 1190 of the family's 2925-position model. The record is from RNAcentral. Lineage: Bacteria; Pseudomonadati; Pseudomonadota; Gammaproteobacteria; Enterobacterales; Enterobacteriaceae.